Molecule: ribosomal RNA, 274 nt
Filed under: uncultured bacterium
Lineage: Bacteria
Description: partial 16S ribosomal RNA
Rfam family: Bacterial small subunit ribosomal RNA
Source: RNAcentral
AUACGGAUGGUGCGAGCGUUGUUCGGAAUUACUGGGCGUAAAGGGCGCGUAGGCGGCCCUGUAAGUCAGGUGUGAAAGCCCACGGCUCAACCGUGGAAGUGCAUCUGAAACUGCAAGGCUUGAGUACUGGAGGGGAGUGUGGAAUUCCUGGUGUAGAGGUGAAAUUCGUAGAUAUCAGGAGGAAUACCGGUGGCGAAGGCGACACUCUGGACAGAUACUGACGCUGAGGCGCGAAAGCGUGGGGAGCAAACAGGAUUAGAAACCCCAGUAGUCC